Molecule: long non-coding RNA, 5029 nt
Organism: Perca fluviatilis (European perch)
Lineage: Eukaryota; Metazoa; Chordata; Actinopteri; Perciformes; Percidae
Exons: 2
Source: RefSeq, a predicted model, not a curated record
CAACCUCACCUCAGGGGUCAGUGCUGCACAGAUGGGUUUGUUCUGAUACAUUAGUCAGAUUGAAAUCACAAGCAGGCUUCAUAAAUUCAUAUUCGGGGAGUAUGGACACGCCUUUUUGCAUAGUAACUAAUACCCGUAUCAACCCGCUCUGCCCUGGUGUCCUCCAAAAUUACAUUUCUUCAUACAUGAUUAAAUCUGAUUGGCUGCACUCUGCAUUUCCAUUGCGUUUGUCUGAAAUUACAGUCUGCAUUUAGCCGACCGAACAAACUCCAAGUCCUUGGUGAAAUCAGAGAUGGCAUGAAAUGUUAUUAAAGUGAUUGUGCAUUUUCUCUGACAAACACAUCAGUGUUUGUGGGCAUGGCUUUCGUGUGGCUGAUGAUGUGAGCAGAGACGGAGUGGGCGAGUGAAGAGACUGAUGGCAGGAGAGAGAGAGAGAGAGAGAGAGUCAGGGCAAUAAGAGACAUAAUGUGCCUGUGGCUUCACUGCCCCCCCACACACUCACUCCCCCAGCCUCGCUGCUUCUCUCUCUGCCCCAGGGCAGGUACGUUCAUCUGGUUUCCUGGCUCGGUCCCGAGACGCCCCCGUAGAUCCACGUUACUGUGGGUUUAUUAAAUCCUUCCCCCUACUGAGCUACUGUGUGUGACUGCAUGUUUUACUGUGUAUGUCUCUGUGUGUGUGUCUGUGUGAUUGUGUCUGUGCAUUUGCCAAAGGGCUCUCCUGUUGUUCUACAACAGAGUCAACAUCACAAAAUAAGGAAAUAUUGUUGCAACAUGCACUGCAGCAUUUUUACUUUUAAUUUUUUUGGAAAAUGUAUCCUCUUGUUCCAUAUAAAAUGACAUAUUUGCUUGUAUAUAAUUGUCCAUUGAUUCAACAGUUGGGGGGGUUGGAUUUAAAAAAAAUAUACAAUACAUACAUAUAUGUAGGCUAUAUAUAUUGUUGCAUCAUCUUCAGCAGCCUACAACUUUUAUCUAGGGUUCUCUUUAACUGUCAGUAUUUGUGCUCUUAGACCCUACUUCAUUUGCAUAUUUAAACAGUGCAUUUUUAAAUUGCAGCUAAAACACCCUUGUGAAUUUUCCCUUGAUGUGACCGUGUGUAAUUUUCCCACAUUUUGCUUCUUUUUUUAUUGUGUAACAUUGUGGCUCACAUGUCUUUAUAGAUGAAACAAGUCACCUGGGAAAGCGACAGCUGCCAGCAGUUUGAGGUGGCUUAGGAACAAUUUAACUUACAUGCAUUUUCAUCCAUGACCAUGAAUACUAAUUGUGAAAAACAACUUCCAAGGAAGCAAAAGUAGUAAAUCACUGGAGAUUAUCAUAGUGUCACAUUUUGAGGCCUACAAGCAGAGCAAACUUGCAUUUUUAUGUGUGAAAUGAACUUUCUUCAUAAGAUGACUGCAAUUGCAUAAUAUAAAUUCAUAGCAUGGCCUGCCAUAGUAAUUACUAUCAAACUGAUGUAAACUAAAUGAAACACAGGUUUUUAAGGUGAAGAAGAAGCAUAGAUUAAUGUUUUCUUGAGCUGAGUAAUUCAUUUUAGAUUGCACUGUUAGUUAUUUGCCUCAGAUGAUCACCAACCGGUUGUGCAUUAGGAUAGUUUACUUAUCAUUUUGUUUGCUAUUACAUCACUGCCUGCAAGGCAAGUCACUUUCACUUCUGACGAGGCCAUGUGGAGCUUGUAAAGAAGCCAUGGAUGGGAAAUAAAGUUGUCAGCAGGAGAUGUAAAGUGAUAGCUAACCAGAUGAGGAAAAGAAUUCAAUAACACUGGUACGAUUCCUUUAACGGUGUAAGUUGGCACCACAUCUUAGUUUCCCCUCACGUUAUUUCACACACACUGCUCCCACACAAAAUCUGCUGCAUGUGCAGACACUACCCUUGAUCUGUUGAAGCAAGAAAGUUCAAACUCUGCAACUUCUCAACUGUGACAAUAACCAACAGUGCAAUCUAAAAUGAAUUACUCAGCUCAAGAAAACAUUAAUCUGGGGGAUAGUUCGUCAAUAUAGCUCUUAAGCGAUUUGGUGUGCCAUCUCCUAAUGUUUUUUCAUAUGGAUCGUGCGGGAGACUUGUAACUCACACCAGAAUCAAUAUGACAUGCUAUGGGACAUGUUCUUUCUCAUGUAAUGUACAUAUACAUAUUUUAUGAGUUAAUGCAUCACUCGCCUGUCAUUAAUAAUGCAGGCCCACUAAUGCUUUUCAUCAAAUGCUGCUCAUCAAAUAUCAAGAAGAUUUUUGGUCAAUCAACAGAGGAAACCUGAGAUGGCGCAAAGAAACAGAAAAACCAUGAAAGGAGAGUUCAUUAGUCAAAAAAUAACAUAUGGAUUGUUAAUGAAAGGGCUAAUUAAUGUGAUUCAAAUUCCAAUCAAUUGGGGGGGAACUAUAUAUAAACAACAUUCCUCUUUAAUCCCUCAGAGGGGCAGGAAAUGGAAAUUCCACCAAAACAUCUUGGUUCUCUUGGGUUAUGGUAUGCUUCCUUUUAUGUUUCAUUACACACACACACACACACACACACACACACACACACACACACACACACACACAGCCGCCAGCUACAUAUUGAUGGCAUUGUCAUGACCAGAACAUGCCUGAUCAGACCUGGGCUAUGGCAGGGAUCCAGGUCUGACCGAGACUCAUCAAUCAUACAGAGGGUAAAGGACCUAAGAGACAUACACACAUGAAAAAAGCACACACACACACACACACGCACACACACACGCAUGGGAGAAAUAGCUGUUGCGGCUGGCUGCUGGGUCACAGGUGUGGAGACCAAGAAAGAAAGUGGGAAUUAUUCCCUUUUUUUCAUUUCUCUACCCCUUUAAAGAGAAACAGCUCACUCUCCCUGCCUCCCUCCCUCCCACGUCUUUGAAAACAUCCCAUUUCCAUCCAUAUUUCCUUCACCCAAUUUAAAACCCACACUUCAUUCGCCCCCUUAGCAUCACCACCCUUCUCCUCCUCCAUCUCCUACUCUCAAUUAGGCCAUGCCUCGAAUCUUAGGCAUUAUAUCUGGUGGCCAUUUAUAUAACAUGACUCCAAAACGCAUUUGCACAAUUUUCCAAUUACAGUAUUAUGCCUUGAAGCUUUGGUUCCUUCUGUCUCUCUCAUCCCCCCCCCCCUUUCACUCAAACUGCUUGUGAUGUUUAACACUACAAAAGAGUCACCCUGGCACAUAUAGACACACAUUUGUGCACAUUUUAAUAUUUGUGGGUAAUGGCCUCUCUUUUCUUUUUAUAUUGUUGAUGUUUAUGAAACUUUAUUUUCAUACUGUUUUUUUAAUAAUAAAUUUAAAUUUUAUAGCACAUUUCAAGGAUCAAAGGACGCUUUACAUAUAUGAAGGCAGAACAAAUAACACACGCACAUAAAAUAGUGGCAGCAGUGUUUGUCCAUAGGCCUUGGUGAACAGGUGGGUUUUUAAGAGUUUUUUAGGGAUUUCUGCUGGGAGAGAGUUCCAAAGGGUGGGGGCUGCCACACUGGUGGUGUGGGGAGUGGUGUUCAGAUCCAUGUCCGAGGACCAGAGAUUCCGGGACAGCAUAUAGGGGUGGAGGAAGUCUAAGUACUGGGGGGGAGGGUAUGGAGUUAUUUGUUGAUGAAGAGAAGCAUUUCGUAUGAGAUGCAGGAUUUGACCAAGGGGCCAGUGAAGGUGGAUGAGGGUGGGGGUGAUGUGCUGCCAGGGCUUGGUGCGACUGAGAACCCUGGCAGCUGAGUUCAGCACAUACUGGAGCCUGUCCAGGGAUUGGCUGGGUACCCGAGACAGGAAUCCAUUGCAAUAAUCCAAACGGGAGGUGAUGAAGGCAUGGAUAAGGGUCUCUGCCACAGAGUCUGUGAGUGAUCUCUGCAGUCUGGAGAUGUUUUUGAGAUGGUAGAAAGCAUAUUUGGUGUGACUGGAAUGAAAGGGUGGAUUCCAGAAUGACACCCAGGAUGUGGACUGGGGAGGGGCAGAUGGAGCAGCCAUUCACAUCGAGGAGGGGAUCUCCAACCUUCCGGAGCAGCACCUUGGAAGCCAAAACCAUGAGCUCUGUUUUGUUGCUGCUUAGUGUGACUAGGUUUUUAUGUUUUUAUGUUGUGCAGGCAGUUGACAAUGACUGAGGGGGGACCUGGGUUCAUGGUUUUGUGCUGAAGGUCAGCUGAGUGUCGUCGGCACAGCAGUGGAAGCUUAGGCCGCCGCCUUAUUGGCGGAUGAUCUAACCAAGUGAGAGCAUGUAGAUGGUAAAGAAGAGGGGUCCGAGCUCAGAGUCUUGGGGAAUGCCUUGGGGAAUGCUUUGGUUGACUGAUGCCAGGGUGGAACUGUAGUCUCUAGUGACAAAUUGUUUCCUGUUAAAAAGAUAUGUCUGGAACCAGGAGUGAGGCUUAGGUAGUCAGAUAAGCGGUUGAGGAGGAUGGUGUGGGAGACUGUUUCAAAGGCUGCAGAGAGGUCCUGGAGAAUGAGGAUACUGAUGUGGCCGGAGUAAGCAGCGAUGAGGAUGAUAGGGGUUUGUAGAGCUCAUGGUUGGACAUGUGCUGAUGGAUUUGGGCGGCAACUGCUCUUUCCAGGAUCUUACUAAGAAAAGGAAGGUUGGAGAUUGGCUGGUAAUUGGUGAGGUCAUUCAGGUUGAGACCUGGCACGAGGUGUCACGCCCAGUGACAGUCUGGUGUGUGUGUGUGUGUGUGUUUGUAUGCUUGCAGAGUGGUUGGUGUGUGUUUGUUUUCUGUCUGUUCACCCUCACUCUCCACAGUGUGUGGACACGCCCCUCCUGCUGUUCUCCCUCCGCACCUGACACCAGUUACUCAUCAGCGCACCUGCAACUCAUCUGCUCAUCAUCCACCUGCAAAGACCAGUCUGACUUUCCUCUUCCUGUCGGAUUGUUAGCUUACCUCCAUUCAGCCUUCCCUCGGACCCAGCACCUCCUCUGCCUACCCAGCUUUCUCCAGAACCAGUACCUACACCGUCUGCUCUGCCAACACCGGACUCACAACAACCACUGCCAGCCCCAGCCUGCUUCAGACCCAGAUCCUCACACUAACCAUUGACUUUAAUUAUUCAAUAAACAAAUUAUUUUUGCACCAGU